This 79-nucleotide non-coding RNA is filed under the name Desulfuromonadales bacterium. Its description in RNAcentral is "c-di-GMP sequence". It matches the Rfam family "c-di-GMP-I riboswitch aptamer". From Rfam's summary of the family: GEMM was predicted in a large-scale screen for bacterial structured RNA regulatory elements. Genes associated with GEMM are involved in a diverse array of functions, including chemotaxis regulation, signal transduction, secretion and chitin. The record is from RNAcentral. Lineage: Bacteria; Pseudomonadati; Thermodesulfobacteriota; Desulfuromonadia; Desulfuromonadales.
CCACCGAAAAGGCAAACCCAGGGUAACCCGGGGGCGCAAAGCUUCCUGUCCACACCGGGUGGAUAGUGGGGCUUCCGAA